Small nuclear RNA from Tupaia belangeri (northern tree shrew), 164 nucleotides. Its record names the gene U1. It matches the Rfam family "U1 spliceosomal RNA". From Rfam's summary of the family: U1 is a small nuclear RNA (snRNA) component of the spliceosome (involved in pre-mRNA splicing). Its 5' end forms complementary base pairs with the 5' splice junction, thus defining the 5' donor site of an intron. NCBI's taxonomy places the organism in Eukaryota, Metazoa, Chordata, Mammalia, Scandentia, Tupaiidae. The record is from Ensembl.
CUACUUACCUGGUAGGGGAGAUACCAUGGUCGUGAAGGUGGUCUUCCCAGGGCGAGGCUUAUCCAUUGCACUCUGGAUGUGCUUACUCUUGCGAUUUCCCCAAAUGUGAGAAACUCGACUGCACAAUUUAUGGUGGUGGGGGACUGUGUUCUCAUUUUAUUUAA